GGCCCUAUGGGGCGCAGCAGGCGAGAAAACUUUGCAAUGUGCGAAAGCACGACAAGGUUAAUCCGAGUGGUUUCUGCUAAAGAAACCUUUUGUCGGUCCUAGAAACACCGAUGAAUAAGGGGUGGGCAAGUUCUGGUGUCAGCCGCCGCGGUAAAACCAGCACCUCAAGUGGUCAGGAUGAUUACUGGGCCUAAAGCAUCCGUAGCCGGCUCUGUAAGUUUUCGGUUAAAUCUGUACGCUCAACGUACAGGCUGCCGGGAAUACUGCAGAGCUAGGGAGUGGGAGAGGUAGACGGUACUCGGUAGGAAGGGGUAAAAUCCUUUGAUCUAUUGAUGACCACCUGUGGCGAAGGCGGUCUACCAGAACACGUCCGACGGUGAGGGAUGAAAGCUGGGGGAGCAAACCGGAUUAGAUACCCGGGUAGUCCCAGCUGUAAACUAUGCAAACUCAGUGAUGCAUUGGCUUGUGGCCAAUGCAGUGCUGCAGGGAAGCCGUUAAGUUUGCCGCCUGGGAAGUACGUACGCAAGUAUGAAACUUAAAGGAAUUGGCGGGGGAGCACCACAAGGGGUGAAGCCUGCGGUUCAAUUGGAGUCAACGCCAGAAAUCUUACCCGGAGAGACAGCAGAAUGAAGGUCAAGCUGAAGACUUUACCAGACAAGCUGAGAGGUGGUGCAUGGCCGUCGCCAGCUCGUGCCGUGAGAUGUCCUGUUAAGUCAGGUAACGAGCGAGAUCCCUGCCUCUAGUUGCCACCAUUACUCUCAGGAGUAGUGGGGCGAAUUAGCGGGACCGCCGCAGUUAAUGCGGAGGAAGGAAGGGGCCACGGCAGGUCAGUAUGCCCCGAAACUCUGGGGCCACACGCGGGCUGCAAUGGUAAUGACGAUGGGUUCCAAAUCCGAAAGGAGGAGGUAAUCCUCAAACAUUACCACAGUUAUGACUGAGGGCUGCAACUCGCCCUCACGAAUAUGGAAUCCCUAGUAACUGCGUGUCAUUAUCGCGCGGUGAAUACGUCCCUGCUCCUUGCACACACCGCCCGUCGUUUCAUUGAAGUGAGCUCUUAGCGAGGUGACGUCUGAUUGGCGUUAUCGAACUUGGGGUUCGUGACAAGGGAAAAGUCGUAACAAGGUAACC
Molecule: ribosomal RNA, 1128 nt
Filed under: uncultured archaeon
Lineage: Archaea
Description: bacterial SSU rRNA
Rfam family: Archaeal small subunit ribosomal RNA
Source: RNAcentral